RNAcentral lists this ribosomal RNA (322 nucleotides) under uncultured eukaryote. RNAcentral's name for it is "partial 18S ribosomal RNA". It matches the Rfam family "Eukaryotic small subunit ribosomal RNA", at positions 1470 to 1796 of the family's 1831-position model. The record is from RNAcentral.
CCCUUAGAUGUUCUGGGCCGCACGCGUGCUACACUGAGUAAUUCAAUGGGUAAGGGAACGCUAGAGCAUUACCUAAUCUUGAAAUUUGCUCGUGAUGGGGAUCGACGGUUGCAAUUUUCCGUCGUGAACGAGGAAUACCUUGUAGGCGCAUGUCAUCAUCAUGCGCCGAAUACGUCCCUGCCCUUUGUACACACCGCCCGUCGCUCCUACCGAUUGAGUGAUCCGGUGAGGCUCUGGGACCUGGACGGAAAGAGCGUUUCGCUUGUUCUGUUUGGGAAACUUGGUCGAACCUUAUCAUUUAGAGGACGGAGAAGUCGUAACA